RNAcentral lists this ribosomal RNA (1107 nucleotides) under uncultured bacterium. RNAcentral's name for it is "bacterial SSU rRNA". It matches the Rfam family "Bacterial small subunit ribosomal RNA", at positions 47 to 1118 of the family's 1533-position model. The record is from RNAcentral.
CCUACCAUGCAGUCGAACGGACGAGGAGGAGCUUGCUCCUCCAAGUUAGUGGCGAACGGGUGAGUAACGCGUGAGCAACCUGCCUAUCAGAGGGGAAUAACACAGGGAAACCUGUGCUAAUACCGCAUAACAUACCGAAGUCGCAUGGCUUUGGUAUCAAAGGAGCAAUCCGCUGAUAGAUGGGCUCGCGUCUGAUUAGAUAGUUGGUGAGGUAAUGGCUCACCAAGUCUGCGAUCAGUAGCCGGACUGAGAGGUCGAUCGGCCACAUUGGGACUGAGACACGGCCCAGACUCCUACGGGAGGCAGCAGUGGGGAAUAUUGGGCAAUGGGCGAAAGCCUGACCCAGCAAUGCCGCGUGAAGGAAGAAGGUCUUCGGAUUGUAAACUUCUGUCUUUUGAGAAGAAUAAAUGACGGUAUCAAAAGAGGAAGCCACGGCUAACUACGUGCCAGCAGCCGCGGUAAUACGUAGGUGGCAAGCGUUGUCCGGAAUUACUGGGUGUAAAGGGUGCGUAGGCGGGAAGGAAAGUCAGAUGUGAAAUACCGCAGCUCAACUGCGGGGCUGCAUUUGAAACUUCCUUUCUUGAGUGGAGUAGAGGCAAGCGGAAUUCCCAGUGUAGCGGUAAAAUGCGUAGAUAUUGGGAGGAACACCAGUGGCGAAGGCGGCUUGCUGGGCUCUAACUGACGCUGAGGCACGAAAGCAUGGGGAGCAAACAGGAUUAGAUACCCUGGUAGUCCAUGCUGUAAACGAUGGAUACUAGGUGUGGGGGGUAUUGACCCCUCCCGUGCCGGAGUUAACACAAUAAGUAUCCCACCUGGGGAGUACNGUCNCAAGACUAAAACUCAAAGGAAUUGACGGGGGCCCGCNCAAGCAGUGGAGUAUGUGGUUUUAAUUCNAAGCAACCGCCNAAAAACCUUACCAGGUCUUGNACAUCUUAACUUAACNGAAAGCCANAAAUUGCNUUUAAGGUGNCCCCUUUCCGGGGAAAAGUUUAAAAACNAGGNGGGUGCCAUUGGGUUUGUUCCUUCCACCUNCCGUGUUUCCUUGGANAAUUUUUGGGGUUUUAANUCCCCNCCNAACCAAGGCGCCAAACCCCUUUACCGGNUUUA